Molecule: small nuclear RNA, 107 nt
Organism: Dromiciops gliroides (monito del monte)
Lineage: Eukaryota; Metazoa; Chordata; Mammalia; Microbiotheria; Microbiotheriidae
Source: RefSeq, a predicted model, not a curated record
GUGCUUGCUUCAGCAGAACAUAUACUGAAAUUGGAAUGAUACAGAGAAGAUUAACAUGGCCUUUGCUCAAGGAUGACAUGCAAAUUCAUGAAGCGUUCCAUAUUAAA